Pongo abelii (Sumatran orangutan) is the source of this 148-nucleotide unclassified non-coding RNA. It matches the Rfam family "Metazoan signal recognition particle RNA". Rfam says of the family: The signal recognition particle (SRP) is a universally conserved ribonucleoprotein. It is involved in the co-translational targeting of proteins to membranes. The eukaryotic SRP consists of a 300-nucleotide 7S RNA and six proteins: SRPs 72, 68, 54, 19, 14, and 9. NCBI's taxonomy places the organism in Eukaryota, Metazoa, Chordata, Mammalia, Primates, Hominidae. The record is from Ensembl.
GCUGGGUGUGGUGGCGCACACCUGUAAUCCCAGCUACUCAGGAAGCUGAGGAAGGAGAAUUGCUUGAACCCAGGAGGUCAAGGCUGCAGUGAGCUGUGAUUGUGCCACUGCACUGCAGCCUGGGCAACAGAGUGAGACCCCAUCUCAA